Molecule: ribosomal RNA, 253 nt
Filed under: uncultured bacterium
Lineage: Bacteria
Description: partial 16S ribosomal RNA
Rfam family: Bacterial small subunit ribosomal RNA
Source: RNAcentral
UACGAAGGGGGCUAGCGUUGCUCGGAAUCACUGGGCGUAAAGCGCACGUAGGCGGCUUCUUAAGUCAGGGGUGAAAUCCUGGAGCUCAACUCCAGAACUGCCUUUGAUACUGAGGAGCUCGAGUCCGGGAGAGGUGAGUGGAACUCCGAGUGUAGAGGUGAAAUUCGUAGAUAUUCGGAAAAACACCAGUGGCGAAGGCGGCUCACUGGCCCGGUACUGACGCUGAGGUGCGAAAGCGUGGGGAGCAAACAGG